GAGUGUGUGUGUGCGUGCGUGAGAUGGAGCAGGAGACAAGCUCCAUGGGAGCUAACCCUAGAAUCAACAAAUUCACCAAAUUGAAGCUCGAAUCAAGAUCCAAAUCAAUGCAUGAACGCGUAGAAACGAUCACCAAGUCAAGGGGAUCGUGAGUUUGACUCUUGACGAGCUAGGUGAAGCUUGGAGGAGAUGAUCAAACGGGAUAAAGGCAAGAGUAAGACUUGCUUGGAUGAAAGGAAAUAACAUGUGCGCGCAAUGCUUUAACUAGAAAAAUUUAAGCAAAAAGUAUGUAUACGGGUCAAUCCUAUGACCCGAGCCAGGACAAUUGCGUUUAAAGAUGACAAAGGUUAAACAAAUUAAGGAUGUGAUAGAGGAACAGUCCGAGGCAUGACGAGAGGGACAUGCUCACUAAGGACUAAAUCGCGUAAAGACCGCGAACAAGGUUAAUGGCAAGAAACGCCCGUCGGGGCAAGCAUUAUCAGGUGCGUGCGUUUAAAUAUAAUCGCGCAAUUAGCAAUGUGCAACAAACAUGUAAGGAAUGAUUGUCGCAUAUGUAAAUUAGAAACUUGGGAAACCUGAAUAGAAUACCUAUCCAGGAUAUUAUCUCCAAGAAAACUAAAUAGAGGUGUUACUUACAUGGGGUGUGAUGUGAAAACUAUAAAAAGGUCGUGUAUGUCAUGUGUUAAUCGCUUACUCUGGCCAAGUAAAUAGUGGCAUAUGAUACCAUGAGUUUCUUAUAGCGGACACAUUUACAUCUGAUGUAGUAAGGACGGGGUAAAUGGGACAAAUUAAAAAGUACCCAAAAGAAUCAAGUGAGCAAAAUAUUUGAUAAUAAUGUAAACGCACAGCCGAGUGACGAAAGCGUAUUACAUUAAGAUAAUGAGCCUGAGUGAAGGGACAAAGAAACACGUAAGAUGAUCAGAAUACGUAUCGGGAGGGAGUGUACUUACACUCGAACCCGGAAAAUGCAAACAUGUAAAAUGAUGUAGACAUAUAUUGGGAGGGGGUGUACUUACACUCGAACCCGGAAAAUGCAAACAUGUAAAAUGAUGUAGACAUAUAUUGGGAGGGGGUGUACUUACACUCGAACCCGGAAAAUGCAAACAUGUAAAAUGAUGUAGACAUAUAUUGGGAGGGGGUGUACUUACACUCGAACCCGGAAAAUGCAAACAUGUAAAGUGAUGUAGACAUGUAUUGGGAGAGGGUGUACUUACACUCGAACCCGAAGAAUAUAAACAUGUAAAAUGAUCAAGAUAUGCAUUGGGAGGUAGUGUACUUACACUCGAACCCGAAGGAUGCAAAUAAGACUCUUAACGGGCCAAUUUUGUAAAACACCAAAUUUGAGAACGAAGUAGGAAUAUAAAAGCGAAACGAAGUCAUAAUGCAUACCGUAAGGGUUGCAAUAAUAACGACUUCGGUAAAACACCCAGGUGGUGGGUAAGGAUUUAAACACAUGCGUAGACUGAGAAACGAGAACGCGAAAUAGAAAGUCAAAAGACUCAGAAUAUGAGUCAUGACUAAAAGAUGACAAGAAUUUUCGCAAACAUAAAUUUUGGUAAUUACGUUCAACCAUUUCAAAGUUGGACGGGUCAAAUAAAGAAUGAAGUUUGACAUUCAUAGGUGAUGAAAAUUCACCCAAAAUGAGUCAAACGAGUCAAUUAAGGAAAAUGGAGGGGCCAAAAUGACCCACGGGUCAUGAACUGAAGCAAAGGGAUCAUAAGGGCCUCGUCUUAAAGAGAUGAAAGCUUAAGAAAAUAGCCUACGAGGUUAGGUGACAGAACCUACGGGGCAAUAGUGUAAGGUAAGGGAACUUGUUACGAUUCCUCGCGUAAAACGAGAACGGAAAACAAUAGAUUAGGGGUUGUCAAUUCCCUUGAUAUGAGUAAUUGACAUAGUUAAAGAGAAAAACGUUAGACUAAAAUUCAGUUUUAGUAAGAAAUAACAUUUUUAUAAAUAUAAAUUCUGAUAGGAAAUCGAAUAGUAAGCAUAAAGGAUUCAAGUCUUGACGCUGAUAGGCGCAAGACGAGAUAUUCGAAAAGUGAUCUUUUUGAAAAUGAAAGGUUGAUAUAAAUUAAACAUGCGUGACACGAUCACGGUCAAGAAAUGCAAUGUGAAGUGGAAUCACAUUAUAACCAAGCGAGCGGUAAAAAGUAACUGGACUAAUAAGUCUAGUUAGUGAGACCGGUUAAGGUCAUUUAAGUAAUUUGGUUGCUUGUAAGUGGUAGAUUCGGUAUAACUGAACCGAAUAAAUGAAUUUUGAAAACAGAAGAAAUUGUUGCUAAAAGUGAAAGAUUUCACUAAAGACCUUUAGACGGGUCAAGGUAACGGAUUCACCAAGAGUUCGAUAAUAUAUAAAAGCGAUGGAAAUCGCUAAGUUAACUAAACUAGUGAAAAUAACGGAAUUACGUUAUUUCAAGUUACAUUAUGUCGUAUGAGGUACGUAGAGGUUCUAUAACCAAAAAGACAUUACCAUAAUUUUUCUUGUAAUACUAACAAUUGGUUAAAGUAUGAGUAAUACUUAAGAGAGUACUCAAGUCAAACGCAUUGAGUUUAGAACUCAAUGAACUAUGUAAGCAAGGUUUCGAGGACGAAACCUUUUUAAGGGGGGUAGACUUGUAACACCCCGAAAAUGGGUUUGGUGAUCAAACCACAUUAGCACUAAAAGACGGGUAAAAUACCGUUAGUGGUAAAACUUACCCGGUAAAUAUUAGGAUUUAAAUAAUUAAUCCUAAUAUUAAAUAAAAAGUGAAUAAAAGCUUUUAAGGAAUAAAAUGGAUAAAAGGCCCGAGUUAACGGGACCUAAAAUAAACUUAGUCAUAAAUAUUCCCGAACCCGCUAAGUUAACUAGGAAUAUUAAACCUAGUUAAUAAGUGGGAAUAUUAUUGAAAAUAAUUAGGUUGUGACCUAAUUAAUAACUAACCAAACACGAGGGACCAAAGCCGGGUAACAUGAAAAUGGAAUUAUAAACUUAAAAAUAAAACACAACACACACACAAGAGUGUGUGUGUGCGUGCGUGAGAUGGAGCAGGAGACAAGCUCCAUGGGAGCUAACCCUAGAAUCAACAAAUUCACCAAAUUGAAGCUCGAAUCAAGAUCCAAAUCAAUGCAUGAACGCGUAGAAACGAUCACCAAGUCAAGGGGAUCGUGAGUUUGACUCUUGACGAGCUAGGUGAAGCAUGGAGGAGAUGAUCAAACGGGAUAAAGGCACGAGUAAGACUUGCUUGGAUGAAAGGUAAGUUAAGCUUACACCCCCUCUUUAAUUAUAAUACACUUACUUGUGAAUUUUGGUUGUGAAUAAUAUUAAGUAAUUGAAUUAUGAUGUUCCGGCAUGAUACAAUGCAAGUCGGAAUAAGUAAAAAGGUAAGAAACCAUAAAUUAUGGUAAAAAGGGGUAAAAUAGUAGAUUAGUCGGGUAAGGACUAAUAAAUAACGAAUUUUGAAAUAAUUCGUUAUGCUGUAAACCGGAAUGGGUAAAAGAGCAAGAUGGUAACUAGAUAUCAUUUCAUAAUGGAAAAUGGUCGUUCGGGCUAAACGGGUCAAAUGACAUUGGUAAAAUCAUUUGACAAUAAUAACUGACGACUACUUGUUGAGUUUUUAUGAUCACAGGAAAUAACAUGUGCGCGCAAUGCUUUAACUAGAAAAAUUUAAGCAAAAAGUAUGUAUACGGGUCAAUCCUAUGACCCGAGCCAGGUACGCAUAUUUAGAAUUAUACUUAAAAGCGAUAUUUUGGUCAAAUAUUAGCGAAAGUCCUUCGUCGUAAAUGAAGGACUAAAAUUGACCAAGAAGCCCUUGACGGGUGAAUUGGGCAAACGACCCAUAUGGGUUGUUUAGGAACUUGUAUAGUAUGGUGGAAUAUAAGUAGUAAACUAAUACGGGAAUGCGAAGGGUGGAAGAAAGGAGCUAGUUUAGACUAAAUAGCUUAAAUACCCUUAACGGGUCAAAAUAAGCAUACGAGCGAAAACAUGUUAAAAUAUAUAAGAAACCCACAAUUAGAACCUAACAUGGUAGAUAAUAUUGAAUUGAAGAGGUUCAUGUGAAAUAAUGAUCAAACAAAUAUGUUUGUUUGAUAAAUGCAUAAACGGGUCAAAAUUUUGUAAAAAGGUAAUAAGCCAAAGGCAUAAAAGUCUCAAAAUUUGUUAAUCCGGAUGUUGGAUUUUAACUCCGGAUGACGAAGGAUCAAAUUACAAUCAUGUAGGAAGAAACGGUAGGUCAAACGGACAAGCGGAUUAAAAGUUAUGAAGGUUUUCGUUUUAGAAAACGGCAAACUUGGAAAAUCCUGCAGAGGCCACCGUAAGUUACGGUAGCUACCGUAACUUACGGUAGCCUUAAAGUCAUUACGCCACACACACACUGUUUUACGGUGGAAAAAUCAACAUUCAGGGGCUACUGUAAAUUACGGUAGCCACCGUAAUUUACGGUAGACCCUGUAACAAAAUGUAUUUUAAUCAGUUUCGCUUUCCGGACUUGUUUAGACAUGUUUUAAACUCCGUAUGACUAAAGCAUUUCAUGUUUAUCAAAUGUAGGUACAUUUUGGAUGCCGAAAGACGAUCAAGCUCAACGAAGAACCGAACACGAUAAAGAUUCAUGCUUCCGCACAUUGCCUCGUCGUAAAUUUAAACGACGAAUCCGAUCACGUUAUGUUGAAUAACUUAUGAUUUCAAAAAGUUUUAAUAAACCCGUAUUU
Molecule: long non-coding RNA, 4683 nt
Filed under: Helianthus annuus (common sunflower)
Lineage: Eukaryota; Viridiplantae; Streptophyta; Magnoliopsida; Asterales; Asteraceae
Description: hypothetical non coding rna
Source: RNAcentral